CCUACGGGUGGCAGCAGUCGAGAAUCAUUCACAAUGGGGGAAACCCUGAUGGUGCGACGCCGCGUGGGGGAAUGAAGGUCUUCGGUUUGUAAACCCCUGUCAUGUGGGAGCAAAUGAAAAAGAUAGUAUCACAAGAGGAAGAGACGGCUAACUCUGUGACAGCAGCCGCGGUACUACAGAGGUCGCAAGCGUUGUUCGGAAUCACUGGGCGUAAAGCGUGCGUAGGCUGUUUCGUAAGUCGGGUGUGAAAGGCGCGGGCUCAACCCGCGACCGGCACAUGAAACUGGGAGACUAGAGUAAUGGAGGGGGAACCGGAAUGCUCGGUGUAGCAGUGAAAUGCGUAGAUAUCGAGAGGAACACUCGUGGCGAAGGCGGGUUCCUGGACAUUAACUGACGCUGAGGCACGAAGGCCAGGGGAGCGAAAAGGAUUAGAUACCCGAGUAGUC
RNAcentral lists this ribosomal RNA (446 nucleotides) under uncultured bacterium. RNAcentral's name for it is "partial 16S ribosomal RNA". It matches the Rfam family "Bacterial small subunit ribosomal RNA", at positions 338 to 795 of the family's 1533-position model. The record is from RNAcentral.